Molecule: signal recognition particle RNA, 299 nt
Filed under: Callithrix jacchus (white-tufted-ear marmoset)
Lineage: Eukaryota; Metazoa; Chordata; Mammalia; Primates; Cebidae
Description: Metazoan signal recognition particle RNA (ENSCJAG00000086147.1)
Rfam family: Metazoan signal recognition particle RNA
About the family: The signal recognition particle (SRP) is a universally conserved ribonucleoprotein. It is involved in the co-translational targeting of proteins to membranes.
Source: Rfam by way of RNAcentral
ACCAGGCAUGGUGGCACAUGCCUGUAGUCCCAGCUACUCGGGAGGUUGAUGGUAGAGAAUCCCUUGAGUUCUGGAGAUCUGCGCUGUAGUGUGCUAUUCCAAUAAGGUGUCCACACUUAGUUCAUCAUCAAUAUGGUAACCUCCUUGGAGCCGGGACCUCCAUGUUGCCUAAGGAGGGGUGAACUGGCUCGGGUGGGAAAUGGAGCAGGUCAAAACUGUCAUGCUGAUCAGUAGUGGGAUCAUGCCUGUGAACAGCCACUGCACUCCAGCCUGGGCAAUAUAGUGAGACUUUGCUUCUC